Molecule: ribosomal RNA, 460 nt
Filed under: uncultured bacterium
Lineage: Bacteria
Description: partial 16S ribosomal RNA
Rfam family: Bacterial small subunit ribosomal RNA
Source: RNAcentral
CCUACGGGUGACUGCAGUGAGGAAUAUUGGUCAAUGGGCGCGAGCCUGAACCAGCCAAGUAGCGUGAAGGAUGACUGCCCUACGGGUUGUAAACUUCUUUUUUAAAGGAAUAAAGUGAGGCACGUGUGCCUUUUUGUACGUACUUUAUGCAUAAGGUACGGCGAACCCCGUGCCAGCAGCCGCGCUAAUACGGAGGAUCCGAGCGUUAUCCGGAUUUAUUGGGUUUAAGGGGAGCGUAGAUGGGUUGUUAAGUCAGUUGUGAAAGUUUGCGGCUCAACCGGAAAAUUGCAAUUGAUACUGGCAGUCUUGAGUACAGUUGAGGUAGGCGGAAUUCGUGGUGUAGCAGUGAAAUGCUUAGAUAUCACGAAGAACUCCGAUUGCGAAGGCAGCUUACUAGACUGCCACUGACAUUGAUGCUCGAAAGUGUGGGUAUCAAACAGGAUUAGAUACCCCAGUAGUC